Molecule: transfer RNA, 94 nt
Organism: Trametes pubescens
Lineage: Eukaryota; Fungi; Basidiomycota; Agaricomycetes; Polyporales; Polyporaceae
Rfam family: tRNA
About the family: Transfer RNA (tRNA) molecules are approximately 80 nucleotides in length. Their secondary structure includes four short double-helical elements and three loops (D, anti-codon, and T loops).
Source: Rfam
GCCCCCGUUGUCUAAUGGCUAUGAUAUCAGACUUCUACGGAGGGUUACUCCCCGAUGAAUCUGGGGGUUGCGGGUUCGAGUCCCGCCGGGGGUA